Molecule: transfer RNA, 86 nt
Filed under: Clostridia bacterium
Lineage: Bacteria; Bacillati; Bacillota; Clostridia
Description: tRNA-Tyr
Rfam family: tRNA
About the family: Transfer RNA (tRNA) molecules are approximately 80 nucleotides in length. Their secondary structure includes four short double-helical elements and three loops (D, anti-codon, and T loops).
Source: RNAcentral
GGAGGGGUUCCCGAGCUGGCCAAAGGGGGCAGACUGUAAAUCUGCUGGCGACGCCUUCACAGGUUCGAAUCCUGUCCCCUCCACCA